This 3132-nucleotide long non-coding RNA is filed under the name Hordeum vulgare. Its description in RNAcentral is "long non-coding RNA (HVUL_LNC013388)". Lineage: Eukaryota; Viridiplantae; Streptophyta; Magnoliopsida; Poales; Poaceae. The record is from RNAcentral.
UGUCUUCUUAUUAAUAACUCAGAGUACAUCACAGAUACAAUCAAGGUAGUUCCGCUACGGACUACAAAACAUGAAAAUGCUAUGCUACCUUGCCUGCAGGCCCAUGAUCACGACCACGCCUCAGUCCUAUGGAUAGUUCAUGUAGAGGCGGUCUGUCUCCUCGUCGUACUGCCACGCCAGCUGGGUGCCAUCGGGAUCAUCUGUCUCUGGGGUACCUGUACCUGUUGGGAGUUUCGAAGGAAUCCGUGAGCCACGGGGACUCAGCAAUCUAAGACCUUGGUGCCAGAACUAGUCAUGUUAUUAGGUAGGGAUUUGGUGAAGUGUAUAAGGCUGCAGCAUCCUAAGCUGGAUUAAGUGGCUAACUUACGCAAAGUAAUUGUGAAGGUGGUCUACACUAGCGAUCGGAUUUCCUAGAUCACUAAGUGAUCCUGAACACCUACCUACGGCAUUCAUAACCCCCCCGUGUCCCCGAUCGAAGAGAGAUCUUCGAAGGGACAGUCACGGUUACUCACACAGUUGGCAAUUUUAUUAGCUUAUGUUUAAGUUCUCUAAUACCGGAUGUUAACAAAAUAUUCCAAGUUGCCACAUAACCGCGGGCACGGCUUUCCGAAAGAUUAAACCCCGCAGGGGUGCUCCAACUAGUCCAUCACAAACGUACACAUACCGCAAAGUAACCCUCUAUCACGAAUCUCGUGAUCUCGUCGGAUUCCUUAGAGGAAAACCUCAACUCUGGGGAAACCAAAGCUUCACUGGGAUUACUAUACGCAAGAUAUAUCGCUAAGGUAAGGCAUGCCAAGGAUCCGACGCUCGCCUGUCUGGGACCAGUUGAGCAGAGUACGACACUUCCUGCCAUAGAGAAUUUCAAACGGAGCCUUGCCAGAACUAGCUUGAUAACUAUUGUUAUACGAGAACUUCGUGAAAGACAGACAAUCCUCCCACUUCAUGCCAAAGAGAUAACACAGGCUCUUAGCAUGUCCUCAAGAACUUGAUUCACUCUCUCCACUUGACCACUAGUCUGAGGAUGGAACGCUGUGCUGAAGCGGAUCUUCGUGCAUAAGUGAUUAGCAAAUUAACACCAAUGUUGGGUCCUGCUGGACAAGCCUUAUCACUACGCGAUUUAUCGAGGGGGUCCCAUUACGACCCCGAACGUGUUAGGAGCGAUCAAUAUGGAAUCAAACACCGGUAANNNNNNNNNNNNNNNNNNNNNNNNNNNNNNNNNNNNNNNNNNNNNNNNNNNNNNNNNNNNNNNNNNNNNNNNNNNNNNNNNNNNNNNNNNNNNNNNNNNNCUCAGGGACUUAGUGAAAAUUCCUGCACCUGAGUUUCUGUCUUUGUUCUGAAGCCUUUUGACAGCAAUCAAAACACAACCUACUCGACUCCAAAUGAUUUGAAAUUUGACAGGGAGCGUCAAAAACAUAUCAGGUUCAAAAUCCUAGCACUGAUCUAAGGCUAGUUCUCAAUACAAUGACGAGCACAUCCACAUCUAUAAGAGAAGAAAAUGUUUACAGAAUCCCAGACUUAGUGAAAUUUCAGAUUUAACUAAACUGGAAUUUUUAGCCACAUGCCCACUUUGUCUAGGCAUAGUUUGCACACACAUAACACCAAGUGAUAAAUGACACCACUAUGGUGUAGAGCAAAACCCCUACUACUAUCACACAAAAACUCAUGCCCUUGGGCUCCACCUAUUCCAUGGAAUCAAGGAUCAAACUUGCAACAAAUAUGAAUAUGUCAACUCCAUAAAGUAUCCUAAUGGCAAAACAAACUUCACCACUGGAUUCCUUGGGAGAUUCUACCCAAAAUCAUCUAUAAUAUGUGGACACUUAGUUGGAACAAAUGACCACAAAUUAAGGAAGAGAAAACUACUCCAAAUCAUGCCUAGUAAUUAGUGCAUCAUUUCAUGUAGUUCCUACUAAGACAACAACUACAAAGGUUGUGUUCAUGUGCACAAUGACAAAGUGACAUGGGGGUUUGAACCCCAUGUUUGUGUCGUGCACAUCAACAACACAAAUACUUAUCACAAGUUACCCCCCCACACACACAACACCAUGCCCUCUCACAUAUGGACAUGUGAAGGUGCAUAGUUUGCAAAGGUGGGGAAGUUCCACACACACACAUAUCUCAACACCACAAACCUCAUCAUAAGCUCUAAAACCCCAAGAACAACAUAAGGGGAAAACUACCAAGCAAGUAUUAUGCAAGCAUAAAAGGGCAGGGAGGGAUUCGAACCCACAACCCCUGUAACACCACACAUGAGCUACACCACUCUGUUACUAGGUCUUUGCUUGAAAAGUAAGGGAAGUUUAACAGGAUAAACACCCCCCUGCGCUACUGCUACUGUGCCAAAACAAAAAAAAGGAGAAUUAAAAAGGGGAGGUGGCGACCCUGGGACUCGAACCCUGCACCUCUAGGAAACAACCAGAGACAACAACCACUGGGCUACGAUAUGUUACUUGACAGAUCAGGGGACUGAAACAAGGUAAGCUACCCGGAAACCCUUCUCUGCCUACAAAGAAACACCAGCGACAGGGAGUUCGUCGGGGUGUCUCUCCGGGGAUGCUGCUGCGCUACGAGUGGCAACACCAUACUGCUGCUGAUCUACUGCUACGCCACGAGACCGCUACGGCAACUACACAACACAAGCACCUACACUAGUUCCCUGCACACACAUGCACAUAUGACGUACUCUGCUACGAACAGGGACGGCAAGGUCGCCUCCUGUGCUCUACCCGACGGGAAAAGGGGGAAGGAGAGGCCUGCUCACCUUGGGGAGGAAGGGAAGGAGUCGAUCCGAAGGAGAGGGAGCCGGAUCGGAGGGGAAGUAGCGGGUUGGAGACGCCUUGACGCCGAUCUACAGUCUCCUACUGCAGAACCGAGGAAGGCUUGGAGUUCACCGGAGCCGAGGCAUGGACGAGCUCCGGGCCGACGAGGAGGACGUUCCCCAGCCUCAACGAGGUCGGGAAUGGGACGCGGGGAGCAACCCCUCGCCCGUGGACAUGGCGGAAGGCGCGUCCGUCGACGAGAGCGGGGGCUAGACGCCGGCGAUCUGCUCUGUCUCUCUGCUACCUACCUACAGAAACUCACCAGAAGGAGGAGAAGAGAGAUGGGGAAGGAGAUGGUGGCGGCGGCGGAGAGAGG